RNAcentral lists this ribosomal RNA (460 nucleotides) under uncultured bacterium. RNAcentral describes it as "bacterial SSU rRNA". It matches the Rfam family "Bacterial small subunit ribosomal RNA", at positions 340 to 790 of the family's 1533-position model. The record is from RNAcentral.
UACGGGAGGCAGCAGUGGGGAAUAUUGCACAAUGGGCGCAAGCCUGAUGCAGCCAUGCCGCGUGUAUGAAAAAGGCCUUCGGGUUGUAAAGUACUUUCAGUCGUGAGGAAGGUGUUAAGGUUAAUAACCUUAGCAAUUGACGUUAGCGACAGAAGAAGCACCGGCUAACUCCGUGCCAGCAGCCGCGGUAAUACGGAGGGUGCGAGCGUUAAUCGGAAUUACUGGGCGUAAAGGGCACGCAGGCGGUUAAUUAAGUUGGAUGUGAAAUCCCCGGGCUUAACCUGGGAAUGGCAUUCAAGACUGGUUAGCUAGAGUCUUGUAGAGGGGGGUAGAAUUCCGAUGUGUAGCGGUGAAAUGCGUAGAGAUGUGGAGGAAUACCGGUGGCGAAGGCGGCCCCUGGACAAAGACUGACGCUCAUGUGCGAAAGCGUGGGGAGCAAACGAGGGAUUUAGAUACCCGU